Molecule: non-coding RNA, 126 nt
Organism: Pseudohyphozyma bogoriensis
Lineage: Eukaryota; Fungi; Basidiomycota; Microbotryomycetes; Chrysozymaceae
Source: the annotation of a GenBank genome assembly
UCUCCUGUAGCACAAUGGUAGUGCUUUGUGCUUAUGUAUUAUUUUGGUAUUUGGACCGCCAGGCCCUCUGCCAGCAUCCCCCUUUCCGUGACGCAAGGGUUGUGGGUUCGAGCCCCACCAGGAGAA